Molecule: long non-coding RNA, 1419 nt
Filed under: Sinocyclocheilus grahami
Lineage: Eukaryota; Metazoa; Chordata; Actinopteri; Cypriniformes; Cyprinidae
Description: lncRNA (ENSSGRG00000031895.1)
Source: RNAcentral
AUGAGUAAAUACACUCUUAAAAAUAAAGGUGCUUCACGAUGCCAUAGAAGAACCUUUUUGUCUAAAUGGUUCCAUAAAGAACCUUUAACAUCUGAAAAAGGUUCUUCAGAUUAUAAAAAGGUAAGAUCGCUUGAAGAACCUUUUGAAGCACCUUUAUUUUUAAGAGUGUAUACGUGUACAUUUCUCUCAGCAGUAACAGACGGGACUCACAAAGUUAUGUUAAGGUUUCACCAACAAUCUUCUCAAAACGAGGAAGAUAAUGAUAGCAGUGAACAGGAAUCAAACACAGAAGAUGACACUGCCAGCAUCCUGAAGACUGAGGUGAGAACAUCAGAUCAUAGGAUACAACAAAAUGAUAAAAUAAUAGUAACCGGUCAUUGUAUUACUGCAAUCCACUUUUCAGGACCAAAGUGAUUCUGAUGAACCAAAUGAGAGACGCUUGUACACAGGAAGGUACAAAGUCUUACCAAAGGGGUUACAAAAGGAAGACAAGAAGCUGAAGGAACACCCCAAAAGAAAUAAGGUCAAUAUUAAUUGGCUCAAAAUGUACAAAAAUACCAUUCAAGUUAAUGUAUCAGCCUCAAGCCCAACAGCAUUAAAGUUAUUAAUAAUAAAGCCAAUAAUCUAACCUAACAGUUCAGACUGUGACCGAACUCUGUUUUGAUCUCUAUAUAGUGUCUUUUCUUGCUGCAGUCAGUGAUCGCAGGGAGUCUAGUGACAGCAGUGGGUGUGCUGUCUUACUGGUGGGCCACAGACACCCUGGACUGGAUCUACUGAAUUCACAUGGAUCUUGGAUAUUCAAUAUGAUUCAAAACCCAAAAUAAAUAUCAAGGCCUCUGCAAGUAUGAUAGAGAAACCACUGCACAAGGCCAUGCAAAAUCUCAUGAAACAGACACACCAGCAGCUUGAGAUAAAACCAACUUUAUUUCCUUACAGAAUGCAACCUAUUAUUGUAAUGUUUGAACAGCGCUUUGAAAUACAGUUUGAAAAAUGUUUGUCUUUUAACAUGGUUUUUCCUGUUUUCUUAUGUAAACUACAUCUAGAUAGAUUAAUCUCCCUCCUUUUUACUAGGAAAAGUGAUACAUUUGCAGAUGUACGUGGUCUCUGGGCCCUACAGGAAUCCUGUACAAACAAGUGCUUUCAGAGUAAAACUGACCUAAAAAAACUAAACAAAUAAAUACUUUUGAUACCUUUUCAGUUCUUUUAUCUCUGACUGCAGUUAAAGGGGCUUUCUUUCAUUGCCAUUUCUUUCUAAUCUCAUUUGUCAUCCUAUUAGGUUGUCAACAAGCUAUAUUCCAUAAACAUGCCAUGCAUUUAAUGUAUUUUUUUAGGUCUGAUUAUUAUUAUUCAGGGUCUUCACUACAGCAUAAAACAUGACAUCAUAGUGCAAGUUACCAAUUCUAGAAAAUUAAAACCGAU